Molecule: ribosomal RNA, 497 nt
Filed under: uncultured bacterium
Lineage: Bacteria
Description: partial 16S ribosomal RNA
Rfam family: Bacterial small subunit ribosomal RNA
Source: RNAcentral
GAUGAACGCUGGCGGCGUGCCUAAUACAUGCAAGUCGAGCGAACAGAUAAGGAGCUUGCUCCUUUGACGUUAGCGGCGGACGGGUGAGUUACACGUGGAUAACCUACCUAUAAGACUGGGACAACUUCGGGAAACCGGAGCUAAUACCGGAUAACAUAUUGAACCGCAUGGUUCAAUAGUGAAAGGCGGCUUUGCUGUCACUUAUAGAUGGAUCCGCGCCGUAUUAGCUAGUUGGUAAGGUAACGGCUUACCAAGGCAACGAUACGUAGCCGACCUGAGAGGGUGAUCGGCCACACUGGAACUGAGACACGGUCCAGACUCCUACGGGAGGCAGCAGUAGGGAAUCUUCCGCAAUGGGCGAAAGCCUGACGGAGCAACGCCGCGUGAGUGAUGAAGGUCUUCGGAUCGUAAAACUCUGUUAUCAGGGAAGAACAAAUGUGUAAGUAACUGUGCACAUCUUGACGGUACCUGAUCAGAAAGCCACGGCUAACUACGUG